This 1375-nucleotide long non-coding RNA is filed under the name Numida meleagris (helmeted guineafowl). RNAcentral describes it as "lncRNA (ENSNMEG00000019532.1)". Lineage: Eukaryota; Metazoa; Chordata; Aves; Galliformes; Numididae. The record is from RNAcentral.
UGCUGCGUGCUGCAUGCUGGGUGCUGCGUGCUGCUGCGUGCUGCGUGCUGCACAUCCCCACCAUGCCCACGUACCCAUCCCCACCAUGGCCAUGGAACCAUCACGGUUGGAAAAGUCCUCCAAGACCCCCAAGUCCAAUCCCCCCAUCACCGCUGUGCCCAUGGAACCAUCCAGGUUGGGGAAGUCCUCCAAGACCCCCACCAUGCCCAACCCCAACCCAUCCCCACCAUGCCCACAGAACCAUCCAGGUUGGGAUGGUCCUCCAAGACCCCCAAGUCUGACCCCGAAGUCCGACACCCUUCCANCACCAUGCCCACAGAACCAUCCAGGUUGGGAUGGUCCUCCAAGACCCCCAAGUCUGACCCCGAAGUCCGACACCCUUCCAUUGCUGCCAUGCCCACGGAACCAUCCAGGUUGGGGAGGUCCUCCAAGACCCCCAAGUCCAACCCCCUUCCAUCCCCACCCUGCCCAUAGAACCAUCCAGGUUGGGAAGGUCCUCCAAGACCCCCAAGUCCAACCCCCUUCCAUCCCCACCCUGCCCACAGAACCAUCCAGGUUGGAAAGAUCCUCCAAGAGCCCCAAGUCCGACCCCAACCCAUCCCCACUGUGCCCAUAGAACCAUCCAGGUUGGAAAGGUCCUCCAAGACCCUCACCAUGCCCAUAGAACCAUCACGGUUGGAAAGGUCCUUCAAGACCCCCAAGUCCAACCCCCUUCCAUCCCCACCAUGGCCAUGGAACCAUCCAGGUUGGGAAGGUCCUCCAAGACCCCCAAGUCUGACCCCAGCCCAUCCCCACUGUGCCCAUAGAACCAUCCAGGUUGGAAAGGUCCUCCAAGACCCCCAAGUCCAACCCCCUCCCAUCCCCACCGUGCCCAUAAAACCAUCCAGGUGGGGAAGGUCCUCCAAGACCCCCACCAUGCCCAACCCCAACCCAUCCCCACCAUGGCCACAGAACCAUCAAGGUUGGGAAGGUCCUCCAAGACCCCCAAGUCCAACCCCCUUCCAUCCCCACCAUGGCCACAGAACCAUCCAGGUUGGAAAGGUCCUUCAAGACCCCCAAGUGUGACCCCUCCCAUCACCGCUGUGCCCACAGAACCAUCCAGGUGGGGAAGGUCCUCCAAGACCCCCAAGUCCAACCCCCUCCCAUUGCUGCCGUGCCCAUAGAACCAUCCAGGUUGGAAAGAUCCUCCAAGACCCCCAAGUCUGACCCCAACCCAUCGCCUCCGUGCCCACAGAACCAUCCAGGUUGGGAAGGUCCUCCAAGACCCCCAAGUCCAACCCCCUCCCAUCCCCACCGUGCCCAUAGAACCAUCCAGGUUGGAAAGAUCCUCCAACACCCCCAAGUCCAACCUCCUCCCAUCCCCACCGUGCCCAUA